GACGAACCGAGCGAACGUUGUUCGGAAUCACUGGGCUUAAAGGGCGCGUAGGCGGGCUGUCAAGUCUGGGGUGAAAUCCCGCGGCUCAACCGCGGAACUGCCUCGGAUACUGACGGUCUCGAGGGGGGUAGGGGCGGGCGGAACUAAUGGUGGAGCGGUGAAAUGCGUUGAUAUCAUUAGGAACUCCGGUGGCGAAGGCGGCCCGCUGGACCUCUACUGACGCUGAGGCGCGAAAGCCAGGGGAGCAAACGGG
RNAcentral lists this ribosomal RNA (253 nucleotides) under uncultured bacterium. RNAcentral describes it as "partial 16S ribosomal RNA". It matches the Rfam family "Bacterial small subunit ribosomal RNA", at positions 524 to 776 of the family's 1533-position model. The record is from RNAcentral.